Molecule: ribosomal RNA, 1356 nt
Filed under: uncultured bacterium
Lineage: Bacteria
Description: bacterial SSU rRNA
Rfam family: Bacterial small subunit ribosomal RNA
Source: RNAcentral
GAUGAACGCUAGCGGGAGGCCUAACACAUGCAAGCCGAGCGGUAUGUAUUCUUAGCUUGCUAAGAAUGCAGAGAGCGGCGCACGGGUGCGUAACAUGUGUGCAACUUGCCUUUAUCAGGGGGAUAGCCUUUCGAAAGGAAGAUUAAUACCCCAUAAUAUAUUGAUUGGCAUCAAUUAAUAUUGAAAACAUUUGUGGAUAAAGAUAGGCACGCACAAGAUUAGCUAGUUGGUACGGUAACGGCGUACCAAGGCGACGAUCUUUAGGGGGCCUGAGAGGGUGAUCCCCCACACUGGUACUGAGACACGGACCAGACUCCUACGGGAGGCAGCAGUGAGGAAUAUUGGACAAUGGGUGAGAGCCUGAUCCAGCCAUCCCGCGUGAAGGACGACGGACCUAUGGUUUGUAAACUUCUUUUAUAUAGGAAUAAACCUACCCUCGUGAGGGUAGCUGAAUGUACUAUACGAAUAAGCACCGGCUAACUCCGUGCCAGCAGCCGCGGUAAUACGGAGGGUGCAAGCGUUAUCCGGAUUUAUUGGGUUUAAAGGGUCCGUAGGCGGGCUAAUAAGUCAGUAGUGAAAUCUUGUCGCUUAACGAUAAAACUGCUAUUGAUACUGUUAGUCUUGAGUGUAUUUGAAGUAGCUGGAAUGAGUAGUGUAGCGGUGAAAUGCAUAGAUAUUACUCAGAACACCAAUUGCGAAGGCAGGUUACUAAGAUACAACUGACGCUGAUGGACGAAAGCGUGGGGAGCGAACAGGAUUAGAUACCCUGGUAGUCCACGCCCGUAAAACGAUGCUUACUCGUUUUCGCGUUUUAUAAAUUCGGAGACCAAGCGAAAGUGAUAAGUAAGCCACCUGGGGAGUACGCUCGCAUGAGUGAAACUCAAAGGAAUUGACGGGGGCCCGCACAAGCGGUGGAUUAUGUGGUUUAAUUCGAUGAUACGCGAGGAACCUUACCAAGACUUAAAUGUAUUUUGACAGGUUUAGAGAUAGACUUUUCUUCGGACAAAAUACAAGGUGCUGCAUGGUUGUCGUCAGCUCGUGCCGUGAGGUGUUAGGUUAAGUCCUGCAACGAGCGCAACCCCUAUCUUUAGUUGCUAACAUUAAGUUGAGGACUCUAGAGAGACUGCCUACGCAAGUAGAGAGGAAGGUGGGGAUGACGUCAAAUCAUCACGGCCCUUACGUCUUGGGCUACACACGUAAUACAAUGGUAGGUACAGGGGGCAGCUACACAGUGAUGUGAUGCAAAUCUCGAAAGCCUAUCUCAGUUCGGAUUGGAGUCUGCAACUCGACUCUAUGAAGCUGGAAUCGCUAGUAAUCGCGCAUCAGCCAUGGCGCGGUGAAUACGUUCCCGGGCCU